RNAcentral lists this ribosomal RNA (618 nucleotides) under uncultured bacterium. Its description in RNAcentral is "bacterial SSU rRNA". It matches the Rfam family "Bacterial small subunit ribosomal RNA", at positions 338 to 951 of the family's 1533-position model. The record is from RNAcentral.
CCUACGGGAGGCAGCAGUGGGGAAUUUUGGACAAUGGGCGCAAGCCUGAUCCAGCAAUGCCGCGUGCAGGAUGAAGGCCUUCGGGUUGUAAACUGCUUUUGUACGGAACGAAACGGCUCUUUCUAAUAAAGAGAGCUAAUGACGGUACCGUAAGAAUAAGCACCGGCUAACUACGUGCCAGCAGCCGCGGUAAUACGUAGGGUGCGGGCGUUAAUCGGAAUUACUGGGCGUAAAGCGUGCGCAGGCGGUUAUAUAAGACAGAUGUGAAAUCCCCGGGCUCAACCUGGGACCUGCAUUUGUGACUGUAUAGCUAGAGUACGGUAGAGGGGGAUGGAAUUCCGCGUGUAGCAGUGAAAUGCGUAGAUAUGCGGAGGAACACCGAUGGCGAAGGCAAUCCCCUGGACCUGUACUGACGCUCAUGCACGAAAGCGUGGGGAGCAAACAGGAUUAGAUACCCUGGUAGUCCACGCCCUAAACGAUGUCAACUGGUUGUUGGGUCUUCACUGACUCAGUAACGAAGCUAACGCGUGAAGUUGACCGCCUGGGGAGUACGGCCGCAAGGUUGAAACUUAAAUGAAUUGACCGGNNGAGAGAGCGAGACGACGACGAGGGAGGAGG